GAUGAACGCUGGCGGCGUGCCUAAUACAUGCAAGUCGAGCGAACAGAUAAGGAGCUUGCUCCUUUGACGUUAGCGGCGGACGGGUGAGUAACACGUGGGUAACCUAUCUAUAAGACUGGAAUAACUCCGGGAAACCGGGGCUAAUACCGGAUAACAUGUUGAACCGCAUGGUUCUACAGUGAAAGGCGGCUUUGCUGUCACUUAUAGAUGGACCCGCGCCGUAUUAGCUAGUUGGUGAGGUAACGGCUCACCAAGGCAACGAUACGUAGCCGACCUGAGAGGGUGAUCGGCCACACUGGAACUGAGACACGGUCCAGACUCCUACGGGAGGCAGCAGUAGGGAAUCUUCCGCAAUGGGCGAAAGCCUGACGGAGCAACGCCGCGUGAGUGAUGAAGGUCUUCGGAUCGUAAAACUCUGUUAUUAGGGAAGAACAAAUGCGUAAGUAACUGUGCGCGUCUUGACGGUACCUAAUCAGAAAGCCACGGCUAACUACGUG
This 497-nucleotide ribosomal RNA is filed under the name uncultured bacterium. RNAcentral describes it as "partial 16S ribosomal RNA". It matches the Rfam family "Bacterial small subunit ribosomal RNA", at positions 28 to 507 of the family's 1533-position model. The record is from RNAcentral.